Hyaena hyaena (striped hyena) is the source of this 107-nucleotide small nuclear RNA. NCBI's taxonomy places the organism in Eukaryota, Metazoa, Chordata, Mammalia, Carnivora, Hyaenidae. The record is from RefSeq and is a predicted model, not a curated record.
GUGCUAGCUUCAGCAGCACAUAUACUAAAAUUGGAACAGUACAGAGAAGAUUAGCAUGACCCUUGUACAAGGUUGACACGCAAAUUCGUGAAGCGUUAUAUUUAAAA